GAUGAAGAACGUAGCGAAAUGCGAUACGUAAUGUGAAUUGCAGAUUUCAGUGAAUCAUCGAAUCUUUGAACGCACAUUGCGCCCCUUGGUAUUCCGAGGGGCAUGCCUAUUCGAGCGUCAUUAUCACCCCUCAAGCCUAGCUUGGUGUUGAGACCUGCUGUCAAGGCAGUCUCUAAAAUCAGUGGCAGUGCUGUCAGGCUCUAAGCGUAGUAAAUCUAAUCGCUAUAGACACCUGGUGGACACUCGCCAGAACCCCCCCAUUUUUUAAUGAUUGACCUCGGAUUAGGUAGGGAUACCCGCUGAACUUAAGCAUAUCAAUAAGCGGAGGA
RNAcentral lists this unclassified non-coding RNA (329 nucleotides) under soil metagenome. Its description in RNAcentral is "partial contains 5.8S ribosomal RNA, internal transcribed spacer 2, and large subunit ribosomal RNA". The stretch from base 1 to 120 matches the Rfam family "5.8S ribosomal RNA", at positions 35 to 154 of the family's 154-position model. The record is from RNAcentral.